RNAcentral lists this ribosomal RNA (422 nucleotides) under uncultured bacterium. RNAcentral describes it as "bacterial SSU rRNA". It matches the Rfam family "Bacterial small subunit ribosomal RNA", at positions 355 to 774 of the family's 1533-position model. The record is from RNAcentral.
UGAGGAAUAUUGGGCAAUGCCCGCAAGGGUGACCCAGCAACGCCGCGUGGAGGACGAAUGUCGUAAGAUUGUAAACUCCUGUUAGAGGGGAAGAAUAGUACCGGUUGGACCGGUAUAUGACUGUACCCUCAGAGAAAGCCCCGGCUAACUACGUGCCAGCAGCCGCGGUAAUACGUAGGGGGCAAGCGUUGGCCGGAUUUACUGGGGGUAAAGGGCGCGCAGGCGGGAUAAAAAGUCAGUGGUGAAAUCCUACAGCUUAACUGUAGAACUGCCUUUGAUACUUUUAUUCUUGAGUUCGGGAGAGAGAGACGGAAUUCCAGGUGUAGUGGUGAAAUACGUAGAUAUCUGGAAGAACACCAGUUGCGAAGGCGGUCUCUUGGUCCGACACUGACGCUGAGGCGCGAAAGCGUGGGGAGCAAACA